AACGUGCCCAGUCGUGGGGGAUAACGUAGCCGAAAGCUACGCUAAUACCGCAUACGAUCUAUGGAUGAAAGCGGGGGAUCGCAAGACCUCGCGCGAUUGGAGCGGCCGAUAUCAGAUUAGGUAGUUGGUGAGGUAAAGGCUCACCAAGCCGACGAUCUGUAGCUGGUCUGAGAGGACGACCCAGCCACACCGGGACUGAGACACGGCCCCAGACUCCUACGGGAGGCAGCAGUGGGGAAUUUUGGACAAUGGGCGCAAGCCUGAUCCAGCAAUGCCGCGUGCAGGAUGAAGGCCUUCGGGUUGUAAACUGCUUUGUACGGAACGAAACGGUGAGCUCUAAUACAGUUUGCUAAUGACGGUACCGUAAGAAUAAGCACCGGCUAACUACGUG
This 391-nucleotide ribosomal RNA is filed under the name uncultured bacterium. Its description in RNAcentral is "bacterial SSU rRNA". It matches the Rfam family "Bacterial small subunit ribosomal RNA", at positions 123 to 507 of the family's 1533-position model. The record is from RNAcentral.